RNAcentral lists this long non-coding RNA (1095 nucleotides) under Capsella rubella. RNAcentral describes it as "long non-coding RNA (CRUB_LNC004074)". The record is from RNAcentral. Lineage: Eukaryota; Viridiplantae; Streptophyta; Magnoliopsida; Brassicales; Brassicaceae.
AUCCUCAUCUUCAUAUCGAAAGCCGGAUGCAGCAAUUGACGGUGAUGCUUCCGUAGAUGCGAAAUCUUCACAUUCCCGAAUCCAGUAACAGAGAAGUAGUCAGGUUUGUUCCCAUCUUUCAAAACGGCAUUGAUGAAGCUCUCUUGUUGGCUGUUAUUGUGAGUCCAAUAUGUCAUGUACUCAGGGUUACAUGUGUAGUCUGUGAGUUUCUCCAUCUCGACGAUUUCGAUCACUCUGUUCACGGAUUGUUCUUUGAUCUUGGAGAUUAGAGUCCGACCUGCUCGUUUGAUGGAAGAUUGAAUCUGUGGGAAGUUUUCAGAAUGUUUAGCAAUGAUGGAGGAGAUAACAACUUCAAUGUAGUCCCAUGUCUUCCUGAUGAACUCUACUGGCUUGUCAUGUAUGUCAUCUACAUGCUGUGAAAGGAUGGCCAAGAAGGCUGAUCUCGGGAUGAAAUUGGGUAGUCCAACACAUUUGCAUUCGUCUAGGAUUUUUAUUUCAUCCAUCAAGAACUCACUCGCAUCCUUUGGCUUUGUUUGCAGAUCAUCUGAGAAUUGGCUUAACAUAUCAGCCAAGCGAGCAGUACAAUGCAUGUUUUGAUCAUCAGGGUAUUCGGAGAAGUCUCCUUGGACGAGAAUUCUCAAUAGUGAUUCUUUAGCAGAACCAAUGAUCUCCAUUAAUGUCAUUAAUGCUUCCCCUGUAGAACCUAUUACCAUUGGUAACUUGUUCAACUCAAGGACAGCAGUUUCCAACUUCUGGUUGAUCUUGCGUACGAUUUCAGGCAAACAUCUGGCGAUCAUGCUUGCUUGGAUAAGCAUUAGCUUCUGAGCUAAAACUGGGAUGCCCACAAUGUCUUCGUCAAUCAGGCUCAGUAGUGGAUGGGUCCUGAAAAGUAACUCUUCUUGCAUCCUUGCUUCUUCAUAUGACUCUUCUCCUACACGGUUUCUGACGCAGACAUAACCAAGUACAAUACUCACAUCAUCAGCUGUUACUUUCUGUAGAAGACCUUCUGGAGCCAUGUCUGCCUUUGUGACAACAGCCAGAGUCCGUUGACCCGUUUUGUCAACUUUUCUAGACAUUCGAAUGGAUUCGCAGGUG